RNAcentral lists this transfer RNA (72 nucleotides) under Camelus bactrianus (Bactrian camel). It matches the Rfam family "tRNA". Rfam says of the family: Transfer RNA (tRNA) molecules are approximately 80 nucleotides in length. Lineage: Eukaryota; Metazoa; Chordata; Mammalia; Artiodactyla; Camelidae. RNAcentral also lists the same sequence under 2 other names. The record is from Rfam by way of RNAcentral.
GUGGGUACAGCUCAGUGGUAGAGCAUGUGCUUAGCAUGCAUGAGGUCCUGGGUUCUAUCCCUAAUAUUUUCA